This 490-nucleotide ribosomal RNA is filed under the name uncultured bacterium. Its description in RNAcentral is "partial 16S ribosomal RNA". It matches the Rfam family "Bacterial small subunit ribosomal RNA", at positions 30 to 507 of the family's 1533-position model. The record is from RNAcentral.
AUUGAACGCUGGCGGCAGGCCUAACACAUGCAAGUCGAACGGUAACAGGAAGCAGCUUGCUGCUUUGCUGACGAGUGGCGGACGGGUGAGUAAUGUCUGGGAAACUGCCCGAUGGAGGGGGAUAACUACUGGAAACGGUAGCUAAUACCGCAUAACGUCGCAAGACCAAAGAGGGGGACCUUAGGGCCUCUUGCCAUCGGAUGUGCCCAGAUGGGAUUAGCUAGUAGGUGGGGUAACGGCUCACCUAGGCGACGAUCCCUAGCUGGUCUGAGAGGAUGACCAGCCACACUGGAACUGAGACACGGUCCAGACUCCUACGGGAGGCAGCAGUGGGGAAUAUUGCACAAUGGGCGCAAGCCUGAUGCAGCCAUGCCGCGUGUAUGAAGAAGGCCUUCGGGUUGUAAAGUACUUUCAGCGGGGAGGAAGGGAGUAAAGUUAAUACCUUUGCUCAUUGACGGUACCCGCAGAAGAAGCACCGGCUAACUCCGUG